Canis lupus familiaris (dog) is the source of this 501-nucleotide long non-coding RNA. RefSeq lists it as uncharacterized. The record is from RefSeq and is a predicted model, not a curated record. The transcript has 4 exons. NCBI's taxonomy places the organism in Eukaryota, Metazoa, Chordata, Mammalia, Carnivora, Canidae.
ACCCCCGUGACCAGGCAACCGCAUCUAGUGCAGCCCCACCUCAGGCUCACUUGGCUGGAGACAUCCGCUCCUGGAAGAUGUUCUCCUGCUGCCGGCCCACCUCUGGGGGCUCUGGCUCCCAGGAACCCCAGGGGUGCCGCUUGUUCCAAUGCUGUAGGCUUUGGCUCCAGCAUAAAAACCAACGCCUCAGGGCGUUUAUCAGGAGGCGCCGUCAGGGUGCAAGGGCCUCGGCCGGGAAGGCGCCUCCCAUCUGCCCGACGAAGCCCAGCCGGACGGAGCUGCUGGAGCAGGAAUUCCAACAACUGCUGCCCGCCUUGCUGCGCAGGGAUGUCAUCUCCGUUUCAUCUUUUUAGACAACUGUCAUGGAUUUGCCACCACCGACGAGGUGCUGGAUCUGCUGUUUACGAAAUAUGGGUGCAUCGCAGCUGCGUGUGGUGGCGACGACGCGGUCCUGCAGCGCUGGAAACUGGCCAUCUGCUGCAUCCUGGAGAUAUGAUGGAC